RNAcentral lists this ribosomal RNA (483 nucleotides) under uncultured bacterium. RNAcentral's name for it is "partial 16S ribosomal RNA". It matches the Rfam family "Bacterial small subunit ribosomal RNA", at positions 30 to 507 of the family's 1533-position model. The record is from RNAcentral.
UUGAACGCUGGCGGCAGGCCUAACACAUGCAAGUCGAGCGGAUGAAGGGAGCUUUCUCCUGGAUUCAGCGGCGGACGGGGGAGUAAUGCCUAGGAAUCUGCCUGGCAGUGGGGGAUAACGUCGGGAAAGGGGCGCUAAUACCUCAUAGGUCCUGGGGGGAAAAGUGGGGGUUCUUUGGACCCAACGCUACCGGAUGGGAUUGGGUCGGGUUAGCUAGUGGGGGGGGUAAAGGCCUGCCAAGGCGAGGAUCCGUAACGGGUCUGGGGGGAUGAUCAGUCACACGGGAGGUGGGCCACGGUCCAGACUCCUACGGGAGGCAGCAGUGGGGAAUAUUGGGCAAUGGGCGAAAGCCUGAUCCAGCCAUGCCGCGUGUGUGAAGAAGGUCUUCGGAUUGUAAAGCACUUUAAGUUGGGAUGAAGGGCAGUAAGUUAAUACCUUGCUGUUUUGACGUUACCAACAGAAUAAGCACCGGCUAACUUCGUG